GACAUCGCGCACACGAGGGAGGCCUGGCGGAGCAGUGGUGGGGCCAGGUGGAGAGGAGGAGGUAGAACAGACAGCUGAUCCACACAGCGUCCCAGCCAGGAUGACACGGAGGCAGAAUCCUAAAAAGGUUCCUGACAACCCCUAAGGAUCAAUCCUACCAAAGAAGCUUAUCUGCUAUCUGGAUCAGGUGUUAACUAACUUUAUCUGUAUAUGUCCAGAUAGUACAAAAGUUGGGCAUUGUGGGUCGUAAGAUCUCUGCUACACCUACUCAUUCUCUCAUUGGACCUGUCACAGGCAAUACUGAAAUUAAUGGCUGUGGCUGUGUUUUGAUAAAAUUUUAUUUAUGGACACUGACAUUUGAACUUUAUACAAUUUUCCCAUGUAAUCUAAACUCUUCUUUUGAUUUUUCUCAAUCAUUUAUUAAUGUAAAAACUAUUCUUAGCUCUUAGGCCAUAAAUAAACAGGCAUCAAGAUAGAUUUGGCUGCA
Sapajus apella (tufted capuchin) is the source of this 487-nucleotide long non-coding RNA. RefSeq lists it as uncharacterized. The transcript has 2 exons. NCBI's taxonomy places the organism in Eukaryota, Metazoa, Chordata, Mammalia, Primates, Cebidae. The record is from RefSeq and is a predicted model, not a curated record.